AACUAAGGUUAUACGUAAGUCCUUAAUUCCCAAUUAAGGGUUGGAGGUUGUACCUCGGCCUUACACCGUUGUACGGCUUACAACCUGCUUUCUGAAUAUGGCCCCUGGGACAGAACUUCUGCUGUUCUGUUGCCCACGUAAUGCUUGGACACCGUUAUAGAUCUUUCCCCUGGAGAAGAGUGACUCAGAAUCGUGGUGGUUCAACAAAUGAUUCGUGUUUCGGUGUCAGCGCAUCGAGACAGCGGGUCGGCGAUGAGCACACUGGCGAUUGGACUUCUUGAAGGGAAGGACGCGUGCGGGAGGGUUCUGGUGUGAGCUGUUGAUUCGACGCGAAGCAAAAGAACAUUUCUCGCGAUGGCCACAAGUACCCCCCUCGCCGCGCCUUCCCCCCGUGACCAACCUUGUCGAGCAGCGUGGUCAGCACGACGCCCUCGUCCUCGCGUGUGGCGUCCGGCGCCGCCACGAACACGGGCUCGCUCACCAGCCGCCCCUCCUCGUGCCACAGCUGCGUCUCCCCCGUCCUCACGUUGAUCUUCACCAGCUGCAAGAUGGAGUGGGCGUCUGGUGGCUACUUGCCCCUAACCAGGGAGAGGGAACCAUAGACACUGAUGGUCUUCUGCUGCCGCUGUUGCUACUGUUGUUACUACUACUAUUGCUGCUGCUCUGAUAAGGUUCUUCACAGAGGGCCCAGCCAAGG
Eriocheir sinensis (Chinese mitten crab) is the source of this 697-nucleotide long non-coding RNA. RefSeq lists it as uncharacterized. The transcript has 3 exons. NCBI's taxonomy places the organism in Eukaryota, Metazoa, Arthropoda, Malacostraca, Decapoda, Varunidae. The record is from RefSeq and is a predicted model, not a curated record.